CCAAGGGUUCCUGCGUAAAGCUAAUCUGCGCAGGGUUAGUCGGCCCCUAAGGCGAGGGCGAAAGCCGUAGUCGAUGGGAAACAGGUUAAUAUUCCUGUACCCGUGAGAAGUGACGGCCUCUGGACGUAGUCUUUCCUUAUUGGAUUGGAAGGGCUGGUAAGGAGGUCCAGGAAAUAACUCUCACGUAUGGACCGUACCCCAAACCGACACAGGUGGGCAGGUUGAAUAUACCAAGGCGCUUGAGAGAAUGAUGUUGAAGGAACUCGGCAAAUUGCCCCCGUAACUUCGGGA
This 291-nucleotide ribosomal RNA is filed under the name Emiliania huxleyi. RNAcentral describes it as "partial Bacterial large subunit ribosomal RNA". It matches the Rfam family "Bacterial large subunit ribosomal RNA", at positions 1345 to 1741 of the family's 2925-position model. Lineage: Eukaryota; Haptophyta; Isochrysidales; Noelaerhabdaceae. The record is from RNAcentral.